This 153-nucleotide unclassified non-coding RNA is filed under the name soil metagenome. RNAcentral describes it as "partial internal transcribed spacer 1". The record is from RNAcentral.
CCGAGUUUACAACUCCCAAACCCCUGUGAACAUACCUAUCUGUUGCUUCGGCGGAUCAGCCGCUCAGGUUGACCAACGGGACCAGGCCCCGCCAGAGGACCCUAAACUCUUGUUUCUAUUAUGUAAUCUUCUGAGUAAACAUCAAAUAAAUUA